UACAUGCAAGUCGAACGAACUUCCGUUAAUUGAUUAUGACGUACUUGUACUGAUUGAGAUUUUAACACGAAGUGAGUGGCGAACGGGUGAGUAACACGUGGGUAACCUGCCCAGAAGUAGGGGAUAACACCUGGAAACAGAUGCUAAUACCGUAUAACAGAGAAAACCGCAUGGUUUUCUUUUAAAAGAUGGCUCUGCUAUCACUUCUGGAUGGACCCGCGGCGUAUUAGCUAGUUGGUGAGGUAAAGGCUCACCAAGGCAGUGAUACGUAGCCGACCUGAGAGGGUAAUCGGCCACAUUGGGACUGAGACACGGCCCAGACUCCUACGGGAGGCAGCAGUAGGGAAUCUUCCACAAUGGACGCAAGUCUGAUGGAGCAACGCCGCGUGAGUGAAGAAGGGUUUCGGCUCGUAAAGCUCUGUUGUUAAAGAAGAACGUGGGUAAGAGUAACUGUUUACCCAGUGACGGUAUUUAACCAGAAAGCCACGGCUAACUACGUGCCAGCAGCCGCGGUAAUACGUAGGUGGCAAGCGUUAUCCGGAUUUAUUGGGCGUAAAGCGAGCGCAGGCGGUCUUUUAAGUCUAAUGUGAAAGCCUUCGGCUCAACCGAAGAAGUGCAUUGGAAACUGGGAGACUUGAGUGCAGAAGAGGACAGUGGAACUCCAUGUGUAGCG
RNAcentral lists this ribosomal RNA (673 nucleotides) under Pediococcus pentosaceus. Its description in RNAcentral is "bacterial SSU rRNA". It matches the Rfam family "Bacterial small subunit ribosomal RNA", at positions 52 to 680 of the family's 1533-position model. Lineage: Bacteria; Bacillati; Bacillota; Bacilli; Lactobacillales; Lactobacillaceae. The record is from RNAcentral.